GCAAACGCGACCGGCUUGAUUCUGUCCCGCCGGGGGCGAGCGGGCGGCGGCUCGACGCGGCGACGGCGACGGCGUCGUCGAAGAGCCCUCCCUCCUCCUCCCCGAACCCUAGCGCCGAGUACGUGGCCCGCCGGACGGACAGCGCGGCAACACCGGCUUACCCGAGUCCAUGUCAAUAUCUCCUCACACCCAUGUGCUAGACGGAAGUUUACCUGAAGAGACAUGGCAAGCAACAGAUGAUCCAGACAUCAAGUUUCUAAGUAGACGAGAGAUGUAUGUUGUGUGAAGACAUUGCAAGGUUGAAGCAGGAACGAUGAAGAAGAUUGAAGCCUUCUAGCUUUAUUUCGUUGUUCUUUAGCUUCUCUUGUUUUUUGUAAAAUUUCUUAUUUGAGGUUCAGAGUCUAAGAACUUUUGUAACGCGAGGGCCGGAUCCCUCACAUUUGGCUGUAGACAUUCUUUUGAGAGUGUUCAAGGCCAGGACAUUCCCGACUCUUA
Molecule: long non-coding RNA, 495 nt
Organism: Panicum virgatum (switchgrass)
Lineage: Eukaryota; Viridiplantae; Streptophyta; Magnoliopsida; Poales; Poaceae
Exons: 2
Source: RefSeq, a predicted model, not a curated record